AGUCAUCCCCCUCAGAGAAGUCACCAUCGCCAGAGAAGUCCUCCACGCCAGAGAAGUCAUCCACGUCAGAGAAGUCCUCCACGCCAGAGAAGUCAUCCACGUCAGAGAAGUCCUCCACGCCAGGGAAGUCAUCCGUGCCAGAGAGAUCGCCUCUUUCAGAAGGAUCGCCAAAGACGCGGAGGAUUUUCCCGCGUGAAGAUGAAAUUCCUAAUAUACCCUUCAAUCAUGUCAAACGCAUGCACUAGCAUCGAUUUUACCUUUUUACCCUCAAUUGUAAUCUAUAAAUAGGCCUCGUGCUCGUGUAUGACAAUUACGCUAUCAUUU
Molecule: long non-coding RNA, 324 nt
Filed under: Salvia miltiorrhiza (redroot sage)
Lineage: Eukaryota; Viridiplantae; Streptophyta; Magnoliopsida; Lamiales; Lamiaceae
Description: long non-coding RNA (SMIL_LNC013407)
Source: RNAcentral